Long non-coding RNA from Girardinichthys multiradiatus, 568 nucleotides. RefSeq lists it as uncharacterized. The record is from RefSeq and is a predicted model, not a curated record. The transcript has 2 exons. NCBI's taxonomy places the organism in Eukaryota, Metazoa, Chordata, Actinopteri, Cyprinodontiformes, Goodeidae.
AAUACAGCAUUAAAUAUAUGAAAUUUGGCAAUACGUACAGAACAGAGUCUGGAGAUUUUCUUGCACAAUAUGAAAAUAAAACUGCUAUAAAACUGUACGGGCCUUGACUGUGGUCACUGGAGAAAUAUGGAGGGGCUCCAACAUAGCAAACUUGGAAUAAAUUAGAUGGAAGGAGAGACAUAUUAACAGAUUUAGAGAUCGUUACAGUCAAAACUGUUCUUUAUAUGUGACCACAGUCUCAAUCUUUGGACCCCUGCUCCUUUUAUGUCCAGAGAUGUGAGGGGCAAAACCUCCCUGAUCCUGUUUACUGUGCUCUUUCUCAUAAAUCUUUAUGCCUCAUUUUAUGGUAGUCAUCAUAAUAAGUUAAACUUAAGGUCAUCAUGUUGACAUCCGAAAGCAAAUUAACCCUACAAUGAAUGCUGAAUGAACAAAUAAUUUACCAGAGUUAUUAUACCAAAGCACAGAGAGUGAUCCACCAUUCUGCUUUAAGGACAAACUGGAGAGAGUGGAGGUAGCCUUUUUAAGAAAACAUCCCAUCAUACUGUGCUUUAUCCCUCUUGGCUGGAGA